This 248-nucleotide ribosomal RNA is filed under the name Bacillus amyloliquefaciens. RNAcentral describes it as "partial 16S ribosomal RNA". It matches the Rfam family "Bacterial small subunit ribosomal RNA", at positions 183 to 424 of the family's 1533-position model. Lineage: Bacteria; Bacillati; Bacillota; Bacilli; Caryophanales; Bacillaceae. The record is from RNAcentral.
GAACCGCAUGGUUCAGACAUAAAAGGUGGCUUCGGCUACCACUUACAGAUGGACCCGCGGCGCAUUAGCUAGUUGGUGAGGUAACGGCUCACCAAGGCGACGAUGCGUAGCCGACCUGAGAGGGUGAUCGGCCACACUGGGACUGAGACACGGCCCAGACUCCUACGGGAGGCAGCAGUAGGGAAUCUUCCGCAAUGGACGAAAGUCUGACGGAGCAACGCCGCGUGAGUGAUGAAGGUUUUCGGAUC